CGAGCUUCAGUCAUACUCCACACAAGCUUCUUCCUCUCUCUGUCGCACGAACAACUUCUUCUCUCCGUUGCACGAGCUUUUUCCGCUGUUGCCACCAUUCGCGUCGCACGAGCUUCCUCCGCCACCGCUCUCGUUGCAUAUGCUCCCUUCAUCGCCGUCAUCAUAGAGCUCUCUCUUGUUGCGUUUGCUCCCUUAGUGAAUUUCAGGUUUAUCAAUUGUUUUAUUAUCAGCGAAGAAAGAGAUUUUUUGUCGGUCAUUUCUGCAGCGAUUUGUGAAACUCGGUGGUUGUUGUUGAAUGGCGAAGCUUGGAAUGAUAGUUGACUCCGUUGGUAACUUCUUCUCUGGCAAAGACCAGCUUCCUUAGUGUGACCCUGACAUCGUCGCUGGGUGUGAGAGAGAGGUUGCUGAGGCUGGGAAGCAAUCCGAUGAGUUCUUGCAAGAGUGUCUUCUGCGAUUAUCGUGGGCUC
This is a non-coding RNA of Arachis ipaensis, 467 nucleotides long. The record is from RefSeq and is a predicted model, not a curated record. Lineage: Eukaryota; Viridiplantae; Streptophyta; Magnoliopsida; Fabales; Fabaceae.